AGAGUUUGAUCCUGGCUCAGAUUGAACGCUGGCGGCAUGCCUAACACAUGCAAGUCGAACGGAAACGAUGGAAGCUUGCUUCCAGGCGUCGAGUGGCGGACGGGUGAGUAAUACUUAGGAAUCUGCCCAGUAGUGGGGGACAACUCGGGGAAACUCGAGCUAAUACCGCAUACGCCCUACGGGGGAAAGCGGAGGAUCUUUCGGGACUUCGCGCUAUUGGAUGAGCCUAAGUCGGAUUAGCUUGUUGGUGAGGUAAAAGCUCACCAAGGCGACGAUCCGUAGCUGGUCUGAGAGGACGAUCAGCCACACUGGGACUGAGACACGGCCCAGACUCCUACGGGAGGCAGCAGUGGGGAAUAUUGGACAAUGGGGGCAACCCUGAUCCAGCAAUGCCGCGUGUGUGAAGAAGGCCUGCGGGUUGUAAAGCACUUUCAGUAGAGAAGAAAAGUUCAGGGUUAAUACCCCUGAAUCUUGACGUUACCUACAGAAGAAGCUCCGGCUAACUCCGUGCCAGCAGCCGCGGUAAUACGGAGGGAGCGAGCGUUAAUCGGAAUUACUGGGCGUAAAGCGCGCGUAGGCGGCUUCGUAAGUCGGAUGUGAAAGCCCCGGGCUCAACCUGGGAAUGGCAUUCGAUACUGCAGAGCUAGAG
This 649-nucleotide ribosomal RNA is filed under the name uncultured bacterium. RNAcentral describes it as "bacterial SSU rRNA". It matches the Rfam family "Bacterial small subunit ribosomal RNA", at positions 8 to 646 of the family's 1533-position model. The record is from RNAcentral.